AACGAACGCUGGCGGCGUGGAUAAGACAUGCAAGUCGAACGCUGAUUUCAAGGUAGCAAUAUUUUUGAAGUUGGAGUGGCGCAAGGGUGUGUAACACGUGGGUAAUCUGCCGUGAAGCCUGGGAUAACUUGCUGAAAGGCGAGCUAAUACCGGAUGUGACAAUUGGAAGGCAUCUUCUGAUUUUCAAAGUUGGGGACCGCAAGGCCUGACGCUUUAUGAUGAACCCGCGGCCUAUCAGCUAGUUGGUGAGGUAAUAGCUCACCAAGGCUAAGACGGGUAGCUGGUCUGAGAGGACGACCAGCCACACUGGAACUGAGACACGGUCCAGACACCUACGGGUGGCAGCAGUCGAGAAUUUUUCUUCAAUGGGCG
Molecule: ribosomal RNA, 372 nt
Filed under: uncultured bacterium
Lineage: Bacteria
Description: bacterial SSU rRNA
Rfam family: Bacterial small subunit ribosomal RNA
Source: RNAcentral